GCAGGCCUGUCCCUUUGCUUUCUUAAAACUGCGCACCGUCUGAGGCCACUUCGAGCCUACUGGAUCCCUGGUUCCAACCCAGUAGGAUCACAGAAGCAGGGCCAGCUGCCAGGAGAAAAAGUUGUUCUCUUCUACCAAAUUUUCCUGCCAUCAAAUGCUCAUUGAGUGACAAUAGAGAAAGCACCAUCAUCCUGAAGCAUCAGAUUGGGAGAAAAGUCCGCUCUCGAGAGCAUCAACUAUGUAGAAAGGGGACCAACCUAUGUUAUAUCUGCCUUAGUGCAUGGGCUGCUGGUCAAUGCUAACAGCUGGCUCUCAGGGAAAAAAGAAAAACCAUCUGUGGCAUCUGCCAAUUUCUGUGGUGUAAAUACUCUGAGCUCUGCCAAUUUCAAGCCAUCCAUCUGACAUUGCUGAACCCAAAGUUGGCAAGGGAUGUGCACAAUUGCCUUUUGCAAGCAAGCUUCUGCAAAAGACUUGAGACAGCUCACAAUGAAGUACUCUGUAUUAGGCAGGGUAAUAUUGAUUGCAAGUGACAGAAACCCAAUCAGAAACUCACUGGAGUCAUGAGGAACACUUAUUGGCUCAGAGUAAAGGCAAAAUAGACCUUCAGAGAAAUAAAGUCU
Molecule: long non-coding RNA, 620 nt
Filed under: Homo sapiens (human)
Lineage: Eukaryota; Metazoa; Chordata; Mammalia; Primates; Hominidae
Description: RNASEH2B antisense RNA 1
Source: RNAcentral